RNAcentral lists this ribosomal RNA (469 nucleotides) under uncultured bacterium. Its description in RNAcentral is "partial 16S ribosomal RNA". It matches the Rfam family "Bacterial small subunit ribosomal RNA", at positions 28 to 507 of the family's 1533-position model. The record is from RNAcentral.
GAUGAACGCUGGCGGCGUGCUUAACACAUGCAAGUCGAACGAUGAAGCUGGAGCUUGCUCUGGUGGAUUAGUGGCGAACGGGUGAGUAACACGUGAGCAACCUGCCCCUGACUCUGGGAUAACAGCCGGAAACGGCUGCUAAUACCGGAUAUGCACCAUGAACGCAUGUUCUGUGGUGGGAAAGAUUUUUCGGUUGGGGAUGGGCUCGCGGCCUAUCAGCUUGUUGGUGAGGUAAUGGCUCACCAAGGCGUCGACGGGUAGCCGGCCUGAGAGGGUGACCGGCCGCACUGGGACUGAGACACGGCCCAGACUCCUACGGGAGGCAGCAGUGGGGAAUAUUGCACAAUGGGCGAAAGCCUGAUGCAGCAACGCCGCGUGAGGGAUGACGGCCUUCGGGUUGUAAACCUCUUUUAGCAGGGAAGAAGCGAGAGUGACGGUACCUGCAGAAAAAGCGCCGGCUAACUACGUG